Molecule: long non-coding RNA, 2071 nt
Organism: Oxyura jamaicensis (ruddy duck)
Lineage: Eukaryota; Metazoa; Chordata; Aves; Anseriformes; Anatidae
Exons: 2
Source: RefSeq, a predicted model, not a curated record
CUAAAGCCCUGGAUUUCACAAUGAGGAUUGGAAGUCCCCAGAAAAUCUGCACUUCAUGAAGGAAUGUUAGAUUAACAAUCAGCACUGUUAAAAAACAAAACAAACAGAACGACAAAAAAACCCUACUGACAAACAAGACAGUGCUGCAUUUGCUCGUUGUGAAGCUAAUCGACUCCUUGUCAACUGGAUCUGAACUAAAUUUUGAAGCAAAUCCUUGUCUUCGGGGUUUUUCUUGAAAUGACGAUUCCAGGGCAUGUCUACUCUUCUGCAGCCAUGUGCCUGCCUGCUGCUAUUACUACAUUUAUCAAGAACAUGUCAUGUUACAGCUGGUUAAUUUAAAGAAAUCACAGCAGUUCUGACACAAGUUGCCACCCACUUUAUAAUGUGUAUAGAUGCAAUUAGAAUUGAUUGAGCCACUGCAAAUAACCAGCGGCAAAACAAAGGUUUCCCAGUAUAUACUUAAUUAAGAUGAUCCAUAAAUAUGGAUUAGGUUAAAAGGCUUUUGAGAUGUGUUUGCAUCACAGGAUGUUUGCUAAUGCUGUCAAACCUUUGAAAGAGGAAGCUGUAGCUGGAGGGCACUGGACCAGGAGCUCGUGUUCAGGGCUCCCUGCCCUGUGGUGGGGCAGCAGGGAGCAGAAGCCCCACAUCAGGGGCACAUGAACGUGGUAGGAACUGAACACAAAAGGUUUCUCUGAAGGAGGAAGAAAAAGAUGCUCUCUAUCCCUGCCCUCUUUACUUGAAGGAAGAAGUUUUUAAUUCAUUUAAUUAUUUGUUUUCAAUCCAGCGUUUGGUAUUGGCUUGAGGUUUGGGGCUUUAUCUGCCCCCGAAGUCAAUCUGCCCACUGGCUCACAGUAACCUAUUUAGGUUUAAUGAAACAGGUACUAUACAUUAAAUGCAUGACAACUCAUUAGCAUCAGUCCAGCAGGGAGAUCACUGCGGAAACUUUGCCAUGAAUAUAAACUCAAACGUGAAAAUGAAAUUGCUUUGGCUUUUUCCCUGCACCUCUCUGUGCUCCUGGGAGCUGUGUGUGAUCACACCUGGCACGAACGCUUUGCACAGACUUUGCGCAGCACCAAUCCAGAUGCAGAUCCAGCCUCUACUGAAUUUGCUGCGUUUUCACAGGAAAUGAAAUAUACUUGGUAGCUUCGGUGAGUCUGAGAACUGAUGGCUAAACAGCCUAGAUUAUGCCUGUUGUUUGCCUCUGCCUCUCCGGUCCCUGUGCAGGGGACCUGGACAUCGAGCCUCGAAUCUCUGAACUGCUCUUUAACUCAAAAGCAGACAGUAAGAAAGCCCCGUUCCUGUGUAUUGAGCUAGUCAUCUUCUCCCUGUUCUGUCUCCUCCACGUUACACUCUCUUUCUGUCUUGGCAUGAUGCAGUCCUGGGGCACCCUGACAGUCCUUGGCAGUGAGCACGGGGAUCUUGGCUUUAACACACUCAGCCAUAUGGUGAGAAACCCCGAAAUCGCCAGUUAGAAGACGAAAAAAAUCUGGCUGUGAGGGACGUAGGGGGAAAGAGACACCGGUGAACCAAAUGAAGCUGAACCUGAUUUCUCCAAAUGAAUUACCUGGCAAAUUCACAUAUUUCAUGUGCUCUGCCCCUCUGCCCCCCUCUUUUUUCCCUUCUUUCUCCAUUAUCUCCAACCAAGCAAACACUUGAAGGCACUCUUGAGCCAGAAGGAUCUGCUGAAAGGCAGAACUGAUCAUUGAUAGAACUCAGAGAAAACAGGCCCAGAUUUGGAUGCCUGGUAGAGAAAGAGGAGCAAGAAAGAAUACAUAAUAUUGGACUCCAAACCUCCCACUGAACUAGCUUUGGGAGGCACGCUUAUGGUGGAGACAUCCCAAACCUCCAAGGGUGCUCAAAAACGCCAUAUAAGAAUUGAUCUCUGAUCUUUUAUAGAUCUAAUUUUUGUAAAGGGCCAUGAGUCCCUGUUUUUAAACAAUUCACGUUCUGUCAGUUAUGCACAUCUGGACAUAAUAUCACAGAAAAAAAAAUGUCGGUGAUUUCCCUUCUUGGUUUUACUUGCAUGCACAGACUCUAGGCCAAAAUUAAUAAAUAAAUGGGAAUAGAAAAU